Molecule: ribosomal RNA, 489 nt
Filed under: uncultured bacterium
Lineage: Bacteria
Description: bacterial SSU rRNA
Rfam family: Bacterial small subunit ribosomal RNA
Source: RNAcentral
AACGAACGCUGGCGGCGUGGAUUAGGCAUGCAAGUCGAACGAGAAUCUGAGAGUUCAAGUUUUCGGACAAGAACUUUUGGAGGAAAGUGGCGGAAGGGUGAGUACAACAUGGAUAAUCUACCUUCAAGUUGGGUAUAGCUUCCCGAAAGGGGAGAUAAUCCCGAAUGUGGUGAUCCGGCGCAUGCCGGAGAAUCCAAAGGCGGGGACCGCAAGGCCUGCCGCUUGGAGAUGAGUCCGUGCACUAUCAGCUAGUUGGCGGGGUAACGGCCCACCAAGGCGAUGACGGUUAGCUGGUCUGAGAGGAUGGUCAGCCACACUGGGACUGAGAUACUGCCCAGACUCCUACGGGAGGCUGCAGUCGAGAAUCAUUCGCAAUGGGCGCAAGCCUGACGGUGCGACGUCGCGUGGAGGAUGAAGGUCUUCGGAUUGUAAACUCCUGUCAUGUGGGAGAAAUGGCCCGGGUCUGAACAGGACCUGGGAAUGAUAGUA